CGAAUAAUAGGUUAAAAAAUCAUAAAGAUAGAGAAUCGUGUGCUAUAAUAUAAGGAAAAGAUAAUAAAGAGUAAAGAAAUAUAAGAUGAGGCAAAAAUCGUGUGCUAAAAUAUAGAGAAUAUAGAGAAUAAUAUAGUGCUUAAUUAUAAAGAAUAGAGAAUAUUAGGUUUAAUCUAGAUCAGAGAGAAUAAGAGAGAAAAAGAUAUAAAGAAUAGAGAACAAAAGAUAGUAUGAAAUAUAAAGAAUAGGGAAUAAAAGAUAGGGAACAAAAGAUAGGAUGAAAUAUAAAGAAUAGGGAAUAAUAGAUAGGAUGAAAUAUAAAGAAUAGGGAACAAUAGAUAGGAUGAAAUAUAAAGAAUAGAGAACAAAAGAUAGGAUGAAAUAUAAAGAAUAGAGAACAAAAGAGAAAAUAAAAAAGGAACAAAAG
This 427-nucleotide long non-coding RNA is filed under the name Mytilus galloprovincialis (Mediterranean mussel). The record is from RNAcentral. Lineage: Eukaryota; Metazoa; Mollusca; Bivalvia; Mytilida; Mytilidae.